This 500-nucleotide ribosomal RNA is filed under the name uncultured bacterium. RNAcentral's name for it is "bacterial SSU rRNA". It matches the Rfam family "Bacterial small subunit ribosomal RNA", at positions 44 to 587 of the family's 1533-position model. The record is from RNAcentral.
GUGCCUAACACAUGCAAGUCGAACGGGAAUCUUCGGAUUCUAGUGGCGGACGGGUGAGUAACGCGUAAGAAUCUAACUUCAGGACGGGGACAACAGUUGGAAACGACUGCUAAUACCCGAUGUGCCGCAAGGUGAAAUCUAAUUGGCCUGGAGAAGAGCUUGCGUCUGAUUAGCUAAUUGGUGGGGUAAGAGCCUACCAAGGCGACAAUCAGUAGCUGGUCUGAGAGGAUGAGCAGCCACACUGGGACUGAGACACGGCCCAGACUCCUACGGGAGGCAGCAGUGGGGAAUUUUCCGCAAUGGGCGAAAGCCUGACGGAGCAACGCCGCGUGAGGGAGGAAGGUCUUUGGAUUGUAAACCUCUUUUCUCAAGGAAGAAGUUCUGACGGUACUUGAGGAAUCAGCCUCGGCUAACUCCGUGCCAGCAGCCGCGGUAAUACGGGGGAGGCAAGCGUUAUCCGGAAUUAUUGGGCGUAAAGCGUCCGCAGGUGGUCAGCCAAG